UGGGGAAUUUUGGACAAUGGGCGAAAGCCUGAUCCAGCAAUGCCGCGUGUGUGAAGAAGGCCUUCGGGUUGUAAAGCACUUUUGUCCGGAAAGAAAUCCUUGGCUCUAAUACAGUCGGGGGAUGACGGUACCGGAAGAAUAAGCACCGGCUAACUACGUGCCAGCAGCCGCGGUAAUACGUAGGGUGCAAGCGUUAAUCGGAAUUACUGAGCGUAAAGCGUGCGCAGGCGGUUUGCUAAGACCGAUGUGAAAUCCCCGGGCUCAACCUGGGAACUGCAUUGGUGACUGGCAGGCUAGAGUAUGGCAGAGGGGGGUAGAAUUCCACGUGUAGCAGUGAAAUGCGUAGAGAUGUGGAGGAAUACCGAUGGCGAAGGCAGCCCCCUGGGCCAAUACUGACGCUCAUGCACGAAAGCGUGGGGAGCAAACAGGAUUAGAUACCCUGGUAGUCCACGCCCUAAAACGAUGUCAACUAGUUGUUGGGGAUUCAUUUCCUUAGUAACGUAGCUAACGCGUGAAGUUGACCGCCUGGGGAGUACGGUCGCAAGAUUAAAACUCAAAGGAAUUGACGGGGUCAUAGCUGUUUCCU
RNAcentral lists this ribosomal RNA (586 nucleotides) under uncultured bacterium. RNAcentral describes it as "partial 16S ribosomal RNA". It matches the Rfam family "Bacterial small subunit ribosomal RNA", at positions 355 to 1375 of the family's 1533-position model. The record is from RNAcentral.